UAUUGGUCAAUGGGCGAGAGCCUGAACCAGCCAAGUCGCGUGAAGGGGGAAGGAUCUAUGGUUUGUAAACUUCUUUUAUAUGGGAAUAAAGUGAGGAACGUGUUCCUUUUUGUAUGUACCAUAUGAAUAAGCAUCGGCUAACUCCGUGCAAGCAGCCGCGGUAAUACGGAUGAUGCGAGCGUUAUCCGGAUUUAUUGGGUUUAAAGGGGGAGUAGGUGGUUAAUUAAGUCAGCGGUGAAAGUUUGUGGCUCAACCAUAAAAUUGCCGUUGAAACUGGUUGACUUGAGUAUAUUUGAGGUAGGCGGAAUGCGUGGUGUAGCGGUGAAAUGCAUAGAUAUCACGCAGAACUCCGAUUGCGAAGGCAGCUUACUAAACUAUAACUGACACUGAAGCACGAAAGCGUGGGGAUCAAACAGGAU
RNAcentral lists this ribosomal RNA (419 nucleotides) under uncultured bacterium. RNAcentral describes it as "bacterial SSU rRNA". It matches the Rfam family "Bacterial small subunit ribosomal RNA", at positions 362 to 778 of the family's 1533-position model. The record is from RNAcentral.